This is a long non-coding RNA of Raphanus sativus (radish), 282 nucleotides long. RefSeq lists it as uncharacterized. Lineage: Eukaryota; Viridiplantae; Streptophyta; Magnoliopsida; Brassicales; Brassicaceae. The transcript has 3 exons. The record is from RefSeq and is a predicted model, not a curated record.
UUUAAAUGUGUAUUUUUUAUGUUAUUUAUUUCUCACAUAUCUUUUUGCAGGUAUUACCAUUGAUGGUUUUCAUCUCCUCCUCUAAAAUGUAUUUUCUUCCAUGGUUGUUAUCUCCUCCUCCAAAAGAUGUACUUUUUCCAAGAUUUUAUUUGAGGCAUCAAGAUUAUGAAAAAUCAAACACAGUCAAAUAAAUUCCUUUGUAAUAUUUUCUCAUAAUAAAAUAUUCAUUUUUUAAUAAUUUUGGAUGCAUAAUCAAUAAAAAUUGUAUUCACUUUUAGUUUU